Molecule: transfer RNA, 70 nt
Filed under: Timema californicum (California timema)
Lineage: Eukaryota; Metazoa; Arthropoda; Insecta; Phasmatodea; Timematidae
Description: tRNA-Asp
Source: RNAcentral
GAAAGAUUAGUUAAAUUAUCAACAUCAGUAUGUCAUAUUGAAUUUAUUAGUAUAAAUCUAGUAUCUCUCU